This 328-nucleotide ribosomal RNA is filed under the name uncultured eukaryote. RNAcentral describes it as "partial 18S ribosomal RNA". It matches the Rfam family "Eukaryotic small subunit ribosomal RNA", at positions 1470 to 1796 of the family's 1831-position model. The record is from RNAcentral.
CCCUUAGAUGUCCUGGGCCGCACGCGCGUUACACUGAUGCAUUCAACGAGCUUAUAACCUUGGCCGAGAGGCCUGGGCAAUCUUAUUAACGUGCAUCGUGAUAGGGAUAGAUUAUUGAAAUUAUUAAUCUUGAACGAGGAAUUCCUAGUAAACGCAGAUCAUCAAUCUGCAUUGAUUACGUCCCUGCCCUUUGUACACACCGCCCGUCGCACCUACCGAUUGGAUGGUCCGGUGAAGCCUCGGGAUUGUGGUUCUUGCCGCUUUAUUGUGGCGUGACCGCGAGAACUUGUCUAAACCUUAUCAUCUAGAGGAAGGUGAAGCCGUAACA